RNAcentral lists this ribosomal RNA (440 nucleotides) under uncultured bacterium. RNAcentral's name for it is "partial 16S ribosomal RNA". It matches the Rfam family "Bacterial small subunit ribosomal RNA", at positions 338 to 795 of the family's 1533-position model. The record is from RNAcentral.
CCUACGGGAGGCUGCAGUGGGGGAUAUUGCACAAUGGGGGGAACCCUGAUGCAGCGACGCCGCGUGAGCGAAGAAUUACCUCGGUAUGUAAAGCUCUAUCAGCAGGGAAGAAAAUUACGGUACCUGACUAAGAAGCCCCGGCUAAAUCCGUGCCAGCAGCCGCGGCAAUACGGAGGGGGCAAGCGUUAUCCGGAUUUACUGGGUGUAAAGGGAGCGCAGGCGGCCUGCCAAGGCUGGUGUGAAAACCCGGGGCCCAACCCCGGGACUGCAUUGGAAACUGGCAUGCUGGAGUGUAGGAGGGGCAGGCGGAAUUCCUAGUGUAGCGGUGAAAUGCUGAGAUAUUAGGAGGAACACCGGUGGCGAAGGCAGCCUGCUGGACGGUGACUGACACUGAGGCUCGAAAGCGUGGGGAGCAAACAGGAUUAGAUACCCGGGUAGUC